This 69-nucleotide transfer RNA is filed under the name Rattus norvegicus (Norway rat). It matches the Rfam family "tRNA". From Rfam's summary of the family: Transfer RNA (tRNA) molecules are approximately 80 nucleotides in length. Their secondary structure includes four short double-helical elements and three loops (D, anti-codon, and T loops). Further hydrogen bonds mediate the characteristic L-shaped molecular structure. tRNAs have two regions of fundamental functional importance: the anti-codon, which is responsible for specific mRNA codon recognition, and the 3' end, to which the tRNAs corresponding amino acid is attached (by aminoacyl-tRNA synthetases). tRNAs cope with the degeneracy of the genetic code in two manners: having more than one tRNA (with a specific anti-codon) for a particular amino acid; and 'wobble' base-pairing, i.e. permitting non-standard base-pairing at the 3rd anti-codon position. The record is from Rfam by way of RNAcentral. Lineage: Eukaryota; Metazoa; Chordata; Mammalia; Rodentia; Muridae.
GGGGAUUUAGCUCAGUGGUAGAGCACUUGCCUAGAAAGUGCAAGGCCCUGGGUUCGGUCCCCAGCUCCA